AUUGAACGCUGGCGGCAGGCCUAACACAUGCAAGUCGAGCGGAUGAAGGGAGCUUGCUCCUGGAUUCAGCGGCGGACGGGUGAGUAAUGCCUAGGAAUCUGCCUGGUAGUGGGGGAUAACGUCCGGAAACGGGCGCUAAUACCGCAUACGUCCUGAGGGAGAAAGUGGGGGAUCUUCGGACCUCACGCUAUCAGAUGAGCCUAGGCCGGAUUAGUUAGUUGGUGGGGUAAAGGCCUACCAAGGCGACGAUCCGUAACUGGUCUGAGAGGAUGAUCAGUCACACUGGAACUGAGACACGGUCCAGACUCCUACGGGAGGCAGCAGUGGGGAAUAUUGGACAAUGGGCGAAAGCCUGAUCCAGCCAUGCCGCGUGUGUGAAGAAGGUCUUCGGAUUGUAAAGCACUUUAAGUUGGGAGGAAGGGCAGUAAGUUAAUACCUUGCUGUUUUGACGUUACCAACAGAAUAAGCACCGGCUAACUUCGUG
This 484-nucleotide ribosomal RNA is filed under the name uncultured bacterium. Its description in RNAcentral is "partial 16S ribosomal RNA". It matches the Rfam family "Bacterial small subunit ribosomal RNA", at positions 30 to 507 of the family's 1533-position model. The record is from RNAcentral.